This is a long non-coding RNA of Neoarius graeffei (lesser salmon catfish), 524 nucleotides long. RefSeq lists it as uncharacterized. The record is from RefSeq and is a predicted model, not a curated record. The transcript is spliced from 2 exons. Lineage: Eukaryota; Metazoa; Chordata; Actinopteri; Siluriformes; Ariidae.
UAACGCAUCUUUCUGUUCAUGUGUUCAUUUUUUACAUUUGAUGUGUUUCAUACAAUUUAAAUCACAUUUGUGUCUUUAGUGUCUGAAACUGAGGAACUGACUUACACUGAUGUGAAAAUUUCAGCUCACAGUGAAGAGAGAGUUAAAGAGGAAGAAAACUCGAGAAUAACGCCUGUUGAAGCAGAGCCUGACUCAGUGGUGUAUUCACAUGUGAAGUGAUCCAUAUAAUUCAUCACAUCACAAUAUCCUUUUAAUUAUUUUCACGAGUUGUGCUGAGGAAUCCUGUAGGGUUGGGGCAUGUCUUCAGGCAUCAGUGUUUAAUAGUCUAUUAGUGUAAUAUUUGCAUGCUGUCAUUAUAUAAUCAUGACCAGCUAAAAACCAAGUGUCAGAAAGGCAAGCUCAUCAGAAAAUGUUUCAGGGUAUUUAUAACCGGAAGAGACCGAAGCUGCAGAGAGCUUGUAUUAUCAGUCAGAGAGAAUGCAGUGUUUGCAGUUUCUCCUGCAAUAAAAAUGGAAACAUGUAAA